Molecule: ribosomal RNA, 482 nt
Filed under: uncultured bacterium
Lineage: Bacteria
Description: bacterial SSU rRNA
Rfam family: Bacterial small subunit ribosomal RNA
Source: RNAcentral
GAUGAACGCUGGCGGCGUGCUUAACACAUGCAAGUCGAACGGAGUUUACCAGAGUGCUUGCACUCAGGUAAACUUAGUGGCGGACGGGUGAGUAACGCGUGGGUAACCUGCCUUAUACAGGGGGAUAACAGUCGGAAACGACUGCUAAUACCGCAUAAGCGCACAGUAUCGCAUGAUACGGUGUGAAAAACUCCGGUGGUAUAAGAUGGACCCGCGUCUGAUUAGCUAGUUGGUGAGGUAACGGCUCACCAAGGCGACGAUGCGUAGCCGACCUGAGAGGGUGAUCGGCCACAUUGGGACUGAGACACGGCCCAGACUCCUACGGGAGGCAGCAGUGGGGAAUAUUGCACAAUGGGGGAAACCCUGAUGCAGCAACGCCGCGUGAGUGAUGACGGCCUGGUGUAAGACUCUGUCUUCAGGGACGAUAAUAGACGGUACCUGAGGAGGAAGACCACGGCUAACUACGUGCCAGCAGCCGCGGU